CCAAAAAAUGCCUCUGACACACAGUGGGAGCAAUUUGUCUAUUGAGGAAAGGAACGGGUUAAUUUGAAAUUCAGCUUGGCCCAGAGAUAAAGAGAGAGUUGCUCUGCGUUCAAGGUCAAAAAUCAACGCAGACCAGGCUAAGUACAAAGAAAAACUGCUUUCGGCCCCAGCUGGCUGUGAAAAAAUAUAGACAGAGGCAAACCAAAGGCAAUACAAGUUACAGGACUGAGAUUAUAUUUUCAAACCUUAACUGUCCAGUGAGAUCCAACAGUCUGGCUUUGCGACCCUGGAGCCGGCGUGGUUUGGGGAUGCUGAAGAAGCCACAGGCAGCCGGCCUGGACUGGAAUCUCUGAGAGAUGCCGCAGGAGACCCCAGGGCGUAAAAGAACUGCCCUCCCAAGAGAGGAAGCAAGUUGGAGAUUCUGGACAAGCUGUAUACAGGAUAAUCUCCCGUCCACCUCUCCCCCUUCUCUGGACGUUCUACACAGACGUGGCCAGUCUGGACAUACAUGUAGUUACUGACAGCAGAUAUUACAGCGAGUGUAAAUUGUGCAAAGAGAGUUGUUCGCGAUCCUAAUGGCAUGGGUGCAUGGGUGGCAUGGACAAAGAACUGCAAAGGGCGAGAUGUCUCCCCGUGGAUCCGUGGCUGCGGGCUAUAUGGUUAUGGGGUUUACUGCAUCUUGGUUCCCUUAUAAUUAAGGAGCUUUUCACAUGCAGCAAAAUAUUCCCUCUUCUUGCUUCCCUUUUACAAUUAAUCAUGUUCAAAAUAAAACAAAUUCAGGAGAAAGGUUUGCAGGGCAACUGACUGGUAAAAUGCAAAUAUUUUACUCCUUGCCGUGGAUGGUUCCAUGUGACCAGCUGCAGUAACUUAUUUUGUGUUCUACACAGUUUUAAAGAUCUUGUAUUACCUCUUUAUUAUAUAUACAUGUCAGAAUAAGCCAGAUCUGUUUUUCCUGUGAGAUCCUGCAACUAGUUUGUUCUGCUAAUUAGUAGCAGUGUGUAAUCCUGCCUGUGAGCUCACAUUCAUUAUGCUCAAUAAAAUGACGUACUUUGCACAUA
This is a long non-coding RNA of Chrysemys picta bellii (western painted turtle), 1058 nucleotides long. RefSeq lists it as uncharacterized. The record is from RefSeq and is a predicted model, not a curated record. NCBI's taxonomy places the organism in Eukaryota, Metazoa, Chordata, Testudines, Emydidae.